This 437-nucleotide small RNA is filed under the name uncultured Entrophospora. RNAcentral describes it as "SSU rRNA". It matches the Rfam family "Eukaryotic small subunit ribosomal RNA", at positions 569 to 1004 of the family's 1831-position model. The record is from RNAcentral. Lineage: Eukaryota; Fungi; Glomeromycota; Glomeromycetes; Entrophosporales; Entrophosporaceae.
AGCAGCCGCGGUAAUUCCAGCUCCAAUAGCGUAUAUUAAAGUUGUCGCAAGUUAAAAAGCUCGUAGUUGAAUUUCGGGAUCAAUUGAUUGGUCAUGCCUACGGUAUGUACUAGUCAUAUGGGUUCUCACCUUCUAAUGAACCUUAAUGUCAGUUCACUUGAUGUUUUGGGGAAUUAGGACUGUUACCUUGAAAAAAUUAGAGUGUUUAAAGCAGGCUUACGCUUGAAAUACAUUAGCAUGGAAUAAUGAAAUAGGACAUCGCAUUCUAUUUUGUUGGUUUCUAGGAUCGAUGUAAUGAUUAAUAGGGAUAGUUGGGGGCAUUAGUAUUCAAUUGUCAGAGGUGAAAUUCUUGGGAUUUAUUGAAGACUAACUACUGCGAAAGCAUUUGCCAAGGGAUGUUUUCAUUAAUCAAGAACGAAAGUUAGGGGAUUCGAAGA